CGACGAUGCGUAGGGGUUCUGAGAGGAAGGUCCCCCACACUGGUACUGAGACACGGACCAGACUCCUACGGGAGGCAGCAGUGAGGAAUAUUGGUCAAUGGGCGCGAGCCUGAACCAGCCAAGUCGCGUGAGGGAUGACGGUCCUACGGAUUGUAAACCUCUUUUGCCGGGGAGCAAGCGUGCGUUCGUGAACGCGCGUCGAGAGUACCCGGAGAAAAAGCAUCGGCUAACUCCGUGCCAGCAGCCGCGGUAAUACGGAGGAUGCGAGCGUUAUCCGGAUUUAUUGGGUUUAAAGGGUGCGUAGGCGGGAUGCCAAGUCAGCGGUAAAAAUGCGGUGCUCAACGCCGUCGAGCCGUUGAAACUGGCGUUCUUGAGUGGGCGAGAAGUAUGCGGAAUGCGUGGUGUAGCGGUGAAAUGCAUAGAUAUCACGCAGAACUCCGAUUGCGAAGGCAGCAUACCGGCGCCCUACUGACGCUGAGGCACGAAAGCGUGGGUAUCGAACAGGAUUAGAUACCCUGGUAGUCCACGCAGUAAACGAUGAGUGCUAACUGUCCGGCUCGAAUGAGCGCUGG
Molecule: ribosomal RNA, 572 nt
Filed under: uncultured bacterium
Lineage: Bacteria
Description: bacterial SSU rRNA
Rfam family: Bacterial small subunit ribosomal RNA
Source: RNAcentral